Molecule: unclassified non-coding RNA, 348 nt
Filed under: soil metagenome
Description: partial contains 5.8S ribosomal RNA, internal transcribed spacer 2, and large subunit ribosomal RNA
Rfam family: 5.8S ribosomal RNA (bases 1-120)
Source: RNAcentral
GAUGAAGAACGCAGCGAAAUGCGAUAAGUAAUGUGAAUUGCAGAAUUCAGUGAAUCAUCGAAUCUUUGAACGCACAUUGCGCCCGCCAGUAUUCUGGCGGGCAUGCCUGUCUGAGCGUCAUUUCAACCCUCAUGCCCCUAGGGCGUGGUGUUGGGGAUCGGCCAAAGCCCGCGAGGGACGGCCGGCCCCUAAAUCUAGUGGCGGACCCGUCGUGGCCUCCUCUGCGAAGUAGUGAUAUUCCGCAUCGGAGAGCGAUGAGCCCCUGCCGUUAAACCCCCAACUUUCCCAGGUUGACCUCAGAUCAGGUAGGAAUACCCGCUGAACUUAAGCAUAUCAAUAAGCGGAGGA